AUCUAUGACCAUACCACCCUGAACACACCCAAUCUUGUCUGAUCUCUGAAGCUAAGCAGGGUCAGCUUUGGUUAGCACUUGGAUGGGAAAAAAUUGCAAAUUCAUUAGUGUAUAGAAA
This 118-nucleotide ribosomal RNA is filed under the name Castor canadensis (American beaver). The record is from RNAcentral. Lineage: Eukaryota; Metazoa; Chordata; Mammalia; Rodentia; Castoridae.